Molecule: long non-coding RNA, 1131 nt
Organism: Podarcis raffonei (Aeolian wall lizard)
Lineage: Eukaryota; Metazoa; Chordata; Lepidosauria; Squamata; Lacertidae
Exons: 2
Source: RefSeq, a predicted model, not a curated record
CCUCCUCUGACUGACAUGUUAAUGUAUCAAUGGCUCCCUGCGUGAGUAUAAAAACUUUUAUGACAUUAUAUACAGCUUUUAUUAAUUCUUCAGCACUGGGUAACUCAGAGCCCAACAGUGUUAUCUAAAAUGACAAAUUAGAGAUCUUGGCUCAUCAUGCACUUUUUAAUUUCAUGCUUGUCUUCUGCAAAAUCUUCCGCUAUGUAUUUUACUUGCACAAAGCAUAGAUGCGGCACAAAGCUUUAAAAAGUUAUGGAUUAAAAUCUCAUUUGGAAUCAAUGGAAUUAUACAGGAAUUAUACAGGAGAAGGCUAUUACCUCAUGUCCUGGUUAGGAACUUUGCAGAAGCAACUGUGGGAGACUGGAAACUAGAUAAUCCUCUGAUCCAGUCUAACAGGACUCUUACGUUCUCCUAUUCUUUUGGCUCAGAACCCCUGUAAUACCAGCAAUUUCUUUGCUUUUGCUGAUGUACAUCUUUGUCCAACUCCACUUCAGGACACAUCCAGGAGAAUUGUGAGAAUUGGCUGUGUAAUAAUGAGUAAUUGGAUCUGUGAAGGUACCUUAGUUGCAUACCUUCCGACAUUUCUCCAGUGAAAACAGGGACAUCCUGUUCUACAUCAGGAAGCGUCUCCUGCAUUUGAUCUCUCGCAAACAGAGAUAUCAUAUACACAUAUUUACAUCAGUGUGGUGAUGAUGAUAGAAACUGUGCAAAUGAUCAGGAACAUACAAGACCCUAAUGAACAUCUGAGAAGGUGAGUCACCUCAUCCAUCACCUCCUCCGUCUCCAGGCCCUGAAGCUCUAAAUCAAGCUGAUGCUGAACACAAUAUAGCAGGACUGACAAGGCCUACACAGAGACAAGCUCCUUCUGAUGUCGGAGGAUGAAUGAGGUGAAAUAAUUGGGCAAAUACACCUGGUACAACACCUCCUGUGUGCUGGGAUUGCACAUGCGCCUACCUCACAACCUGGUUCUGCAUCUGAAAGUAGAACAUCGUUUACUGAAUGUAACCAAAUACCAAAAACAUUGAGCAUUUGCAGAGAAUAUUCUAUAACACACCAUCAGGGAAUUUUACAGAAGAGCAUAAACAAAAAGGCCAAAUUUAUGUUUGAUGGAAUAAACUGCUAACACUUUCU